UACGAAGGGGGCUAGCGUUGUUCGGAAUUACUGGGCGUAAAGGGCGCGUAGGCGGCUCUGAUCGUCGGAUGUGAAAGGCCUGGGCUCAACCUGGGAACGGCAUCCGAUACGGCAGGGCUUGAGUGUGGGAGAGGUUGGUGGAAUUCCCAGUGUAGAGGUGAAAUUCGUAGAAAUCAGGAGGAACACCGGUGGCGAAGGCGGAUCUCUGGGCCAUUACUGACGCUGAGGAGCGAAAGCGUGGGGAGCGAACAGG
Molecule: ribosomal RNA, 253 nt
Filed under: uncultured bacterium
Lineage: Bacteria
Description: partial 16S ribosomal RNA
Rfam family: Bacterial small subunit ribosomal RNA
Source: RNAcentral